UACGGAAGGCAGCAGUGGGGAAUAUUGCACAAUGGGCGAAAGCCUGAUGCAGCUAUGCCGCGUGUAUGAAGAAGGCCUUAGGGUUGUAAAGUACUUUCAUCGGGGAGGAAAAACAAAACUAAUAAUUUUAUUUCUUGACGUUACCCGAAAAAGAAGCACCGGCUAACUCCGUGCCAGCAGCCGCGGUAAUACGGAGGGUGCUAGCGUUAAUCAGAAUUACUGGGCGUAAAGAGCACGUAGGUGGUUUUUUUAAAGUCAGAUGUGAAAUCCCUGGGCUUAACCUAGGAACUGCAUUUUGAAACUGAAAUACUAGAGUAUCGUAGAGGGAGGUAGAAUUCUAGGUGUAGCGGUGAAAUGCGUAGAUAUCUGGAGGAAUACCUGUGGCGAAAGCGGCCUCCUAAACGAAUACUGACACUGAGGUGCGAAAGCGUGGGGAGCAAACCAGGGAUUAGAUAC
Molecule: ribosomal RNA, 456 nt
Filed under: uncultured bacterium
Lineage: Bacteria
Description: bacterial SSU rRNA
Rfam family: Bacterial small subunit ribosomal RNA
Source: RNAcentral